Molecule: ribosomal RNA, 72 nt
Filed under: Otodectes cynotis (ear mite)
Lineage: Eukaryota; Metazoa; Arthropoda; Arachnida; Sarcoptiformes; Psoroptidae
Description: partial 28S ribosomal RNA
Rfam family: Eukaryotic large subunit ribosomal RNA
Source: RNAcentral
UCGACCUCAGAUCAAGCGAGAUUACCUGCUGAAUUUAAGCAUAUAACUAAGCGGAGGAAAAGAAACCAAACG